AGUGAACGCUGGCGGUAGGCCUAACACAUGCAAGUCGAACGGCAGCACAGUAAGAGCUUGCUCUUACGGGUGGCGAGUGGCGGACGGGUGAGGAAUACAUCGGAAUCUACUUUUUCGUGGGGGAUAACGUAGGGAAACUUACGCUAAUACCGCAUACGACCUACGGGUGAAAGCAGGGGAUCUUCGGACCUUGCGCGAUUGAAUGAGCCGAUGUCGGAUUCGCUAGUUGGCGGGGUAAAGGCCCACCAAGGCGACGAUCGGUAACUGGUCUGAGAGGAUGAUCAGACACACUGGAACUGAGACACGGUACAGACUCCGACAGGAGGCAGCAGUGGGGAAUAUUGGACAAUGGGCGCAAGCCUGAUCCAGCCAUACCGCGUGGAUGAAGAAGGCCUUCGGGUUGUAAAGCCCUUUUGUUGUGAAAGAAAAACAGCAGGUUAAUACCCCGCUGUUCUGACGGUACCCAAAGAAUAAGCACCGGCUAACUUCGUG
This 492-nucleotide ribosomal RNA is filed under the name uncultured bacterium. RNAcentral's name for it is "partial 16S ribosomal RNA". It matches the Rfam family "Bacterial small subunit ribosomal RNA", at positions 29 to 507 of the family's 1533-position model. The record is from RNAcentral.